UGCUUAUGGGGUCGCUAUUAUCUAAAGGGUCUUCUUUUAAGACUUUUCCAGCCGUUUCUUCAGCCCUCUAAUGGUACUUCAAUCGUUUUCCUUCAUCUCCAACCGGUAUUAAUAUGUUGUUUAUGCUGAGUUUGCCAUGGUUCUUCGCCGAGCUUCCUCUGGUGUAUUUCUCUACGGCGCAGCGAGCAUUCCUUCCGGGUCAUGAGCAUUGGGUUGGGUUUAUAUUCAUCCUCUGUUAGGGUUUUUUUCUUGAUUUGGGCUUGGGCCUUCUUUGUGCAGAGUUUGAGUAUUGUUGCUGGAUUUCAUUAAUAAACUGGCCAGAGGCCCAAAUACAAGCAAUAAAUCCAGCAACAAUACUCAAACUCUGCA
Molecule: unclassified non-coding RNA, 369 nt
Filed under: Hevea brasiliensis (rubber tree)
Lineage: Eukaryota; Viridiplantae; Streptophyta; Magnoliopsida; Malpighiales; Euphorbiaceae
Source: RNAcentral